AUUGAACGCUGGCGGCAUGCCUUACACGUGCAAGUCGAACGGUAACGGGCCUUCGGGUGCCGUCGAGUGGCGAACGGGUGAGUAAUACAUCGGAACGUGCCCGAUCGUGGGGGAUAACGAGGCGAAAGCUUUGCUAAUACCUCAUACGAUCUACGGAUGAAAGCAGGGGACCGCAAGGCCUUGCGCGGACGGAGCGGCCGAUGGCAGAUUAGGUAGUUGGUGGGAUAAAAGCUUACCAAGCCGACGAUCUGUAGCUGGUCUGAGAGGAUGAUCAGCCACACUGGGACUGAGACACGGCCCAGACUCCUACGGGAGGCAGCAGUGGGGAAUUUUGGACAAUGGGCGCAAGCCUGAUCCAGCCAUGCCGCGUGCAGGAUGAAGGCCUUCGGGUUGUAAACUGCUUUUGUACGGAACGAAAAGCCUUCUUUUAAUACAGGAGGGUCAUGACGGUACCGUAAGAAUAAGCACCGGCUAACUACGUG
RNAcentral lists this ribosomal RNA (482 nucleotides) under uncultured bacterium. RNAcentral's name for it is "partial 16S ribosomal RNA". It matches the Rfam family "Bacterial small subunit ribosomal RNA", at positions 30 to 507 of the family's 1533-position model. The record is from RNAcentral.